CGAACGCUGGCGGCGUGCUUACCACAUGCACGUCGACCGGCAAGGCCCUGCUUUUGUGGGGUGCUCGAGUGGCGAACGGGUGAGUAACACGUGAGUAACCUGCCCUUGACUUUGGGAUAACUUCAGGAAACUGGGGCUAAUACCGGAUAGGAGCUCCUGCUGCAUGGUGGGGGUUGGAAAGUUUCGGCGGUUGGGGAUGGACUCGCGGCUUAUCAGCUUGUUGGUGGGGUAGUGGCUUACCAAGGCUUUGACGGGUAGCCGGCCUGAGAGGGUGACCGGCCACAUUGGGACUGAGAUACGGCCCAGACUCCUACGGGAGGCAGCAGUGGGGAAUAUUGCACAAUGGGCGGAAGCCUGAUGCAGCAACGCCGCGUGCGGGAUGACGGCCUUCGGGUUGUAAACCGCUUUCGCCUGUGACGAAGCGUGAGUGACGGUAAUGGGUAAAGAAGCACCGGCUAACUACGUG
Molecule: ribosomal RNA, 466 nt
Filed under: uncultured bacterium
Lineage: Bacteria
Description: partial 16S ribosomal RNA
Rfam family: Bacterial small subunit ribosomal RNA
Source: RNAcentral